CCAUAUUAAAAACCCUUCCCCUAAAAUGCCCGUGAAAUUACCCUGGAGAAACAGACCACCACCUAUUUCUUGACUGCUACUGUAGAGACCAUCUCUCCAACUCCCAAAUCGAGCCACAUGAGGGAAGGUCUGGCUAGUGGGAGCUAUUGAUAAUCUCAGACGGCGACCUGAAGACUGAUUUUACUCCUUGCAUUCAACCUGCUUCGAGGCUGUGCCAGGACAGCUUUAUUUGCAGACCAGAAUUUCAGCUUUGGUCCUUUUCUUCCCACCUCUUGAAAGACAAAAAGUGAAAUGGCCAAAGGCAGAUUCCAAGAAAAAGAAAGGUCUUGAGUUUUGUGUUAACCCAA
This 347-nucleotide long non-coding RNA is filed under the name Cricetulus griseus (Chinese hamster). RNAcentral's name for it is "lncRNA (ENSCGRG00015034963.1)". Lineage: Eukaryota; Metazoa; Chordata; Mammalia; Rodentia; Cricetidae. The record is from RNAcentral.